UUUUGGGGUAUGAUUUCUUGCAAAUGGCAGGCACUUUAAAAUAUUCGUUGAUAUACUUUGUAUUAAAUUACAGUGUAGGGCUAAGAUCAGAUGGUAGUUGUUUGACACCAAAAAUCUAGUCUGUACACCUGCGAGAGAAGAAGGUCCACAGUCAGAUCUGCCUAACCAGAUUCUAAGGUUUGAUCCAGAGUGGGAAGAUCCCUGGUCCAGAAACCUGGAAAAUGCAGAGGCAGAGCUUCUCUUCUGACAUUGCUCCUGUACUAGGGCCCUCAGUAAGCCACGUCAUCUCCCUGGGCCUUGGCUUCCUCAGCUGCCCCCUGGCCCACAGGGCUCAACAAUGGUCAGGAUAGUUGACAUUUAUGUAAUGCUUUAAUAAUCUCACGCUUCUCCAGCAUUUUAAGGUUUCCAAAGUACUUUCCUCUUCACGACCUUAUAAGGUAGGUAGUUGUGAGUGUUUUCAUCUUGCAUUUUGUGGAUGAGGUAACUGAGAGUAAGAGUUGCUCAUGGUCACUUAGCUGGUCAGUGACAGAAGUGAAAUUUGACCCUAAUUCUUCUCCUUUGGUAAGUGCAUGUUCCACUUUGAAGUCUUUAGACUUAGAAACAUUAAUUGAUUCUCAUAGCAAAAAUUAUAACCUCUCCAUAUACUUUAUUUCCCCUCACUGGAUAUGAGGGCAGAAUGAGAUAAUUGAUGUAAAAAUGUUUUGAAAAACUAGAAUUCUGUGAAUAUGACAAUAAAAAUGUGCAUCUGCCUCUAGAAAAAGUAGUUUUCAUGUCAGUUUGCCAUGGAAAUUGGUGGAAUCCUGAUAAGCUCAUUACUUCGGUGGAACCAUUCACUUCAUGACAUUCAGUUUAAGCCUGGUGGGGUGUUUCACUUCUGGAAUCCUUGCUGUUGGGGAGGCCACGGUUGAUGGAUCUAUUAAGUUUGGGACUCUUGAGUUGCAGAAGGGCUAAGGCAGAGCAAGUAUUUGUCUGUCACCAAUAUGAUGAGCCCCCAGAAUCAGAGGACCACCAGGCUGUCUAAGGAGGGGUUAACUUGUUCAGGGCAGAAAAACAGCAAGUAUAAGCUUCUGCACUGAUCAGUGUAGGGAAAGGGCCCAUGAAUGGCUGAUAUACUUCCAAGUAUGGGUGAGAUAGGGAGACCUAGUCUUCAAAAAACAAAAUUUCCAGCUAUGUACAAAGCACUGUCUUAGGUACUAAAGGAGAUACAAAGUUGACAUAAGACAGAGUGCUUACCUUUAUGUGAGGUACAGUCUAGUAGAAUAAUAUUAGCUCAUUUAUUUGGCACACAACGAGGUAUAUUUGUUCCUUUUAGCUUAUAUCAUUCUUUGGCUUGGUCUGCCCACAAAUGACCCAUUCAGGCAUCUGUCAGGAGUCCAGGUACCUUCCCUAAAUGCCUGGACCCCCCUUGCUAAAUAACUCUACAUGAUCCUGAUCUUCUCCUGUGUAUUAUCUCUUCCACACCCACUUAGAAUGUCCACCAGCAGAUGUGCCACACACCCUCUGCCUCCUCCCUGGUGAUGUAGGACAUUAGCAAGGAGUUGAGCCCUGAAAUAAUACUUAGAACAUGAAGAACUCAUUGUUUUCAGGAUUUGGUGACAUUUGGGGAUGUGUCAGUGGACCUCAGCAAGAAAGAAUGGAAGAGUUCAGCAGCUGCUCAGAGAUUUUUUCGAGAUUUGAUGCUGGAGAAUUACCGGGAUGUGGUAUCACUGGGAUAUGUUUUCGUAUGGAAUGGUCACAAGGGAUAGACUGACCUUUAUGGUCCUGACAGAAGCCCAUACAAGGGUAAGAUGGAAAGAAUAUGUCAUCUUCUGCAAACUCACAAGUGGAAAGCUCCGAAACCAACAACCUCUUAAAAGAGUUAACAUUUGUGAAUCUGCGAGAGAAAAAAUGCCUGUUACCACACCUGAAGUGGUUCCUAAACUUGCUUCUGGAAGUGAAAACUAAAGAGCAAGAGGAAAAUCAAUAAACUAACAAAAAAUAAAGGUGAAAAAGUGGUCUGGAGACAUUAGACAUUAUUACUGCCCAGUAAAAGUAUUGUUUCCUGUAUGGCUUGUCUCCUAGAGGUUUAGAAUGAACAGAUGCAGAGAGAAAGUCUGGUUUGCUCUCCAGCAUUAUGGAAUGGGUCUGUGUCACAGGGCAGAGCCCUAUGCUCCCUCGGACCACUCAGACAGAACCGGCAGAGUCAACUACCCGAGCAUCUACUUGAGUGAUACCGUGAUCUGACGAAAGGUACGGACAGUGUGGACUGGCCUGAGUGCUGGCCUGGCGUCGGGAAGACCCUCUGGUUUCUACAUUACCUCUAAGAUCAAAUCCCCCAACUUCACUUUAAAGCCUUUCCCAAACCAGCUCCAAAUCCUUCCUUUUUCACAUCUCCACUCCACUGUUCAUUCCAUCUCCCUGCUCCUUUGCACAGGUUGCUUCCUCAUGCCUGAAAAAAACCAAGUUCUCAGAUUCCACGUUAAGAAUCCCAGAACUGGACGCACUCCUAAAGUGCCUGGCACACCGCAAGGGCUAAAUAAAUGCUUGUUCCUUUUCCCCUGCCUUCUCUUCCCCCUCCAGCUCUAAACCUUCCACGUAUGCCUAGUAUUUAAAGGUGAAGUAAGCCCCUGCAGGGCAGUUAAGUUUCCUCCUAGCCACUGUAUUCCCCUCCCCGCCCUUCCCUCCGCCCCGUGCCCCCGACUCUGCAGAGUCCUGCACACUGUGAGUGCUUAAUA
Molecule: RNA transcript, 2714 nt
Organism: Vombatus ursinus (common wombat)
Lineage: Eukaryota; Metazoa; Chordata; Mammalia; Diprotodontia; Vombatidae
Gene name: zinc finger protein 3-like
Exons: 3
Source: RefSeq, a predicted model, not a curated record